UGGCUCAGGACGAACGCUGGCGGUAUGCUUAACACAUGCAAGUCGAACGAGAAGGAAGAGCUUGCUCUUCCUGAAAGUGGCGAACGGGUGAGUAACGCGUGGGUAACCUACCCUUUGGAAAGGAAUAGCCUCGGGAAACUGGGAGUAAUGCCUUAUAAGAUACGUUUGUCGCAUGGCAUUUGUAUUAAACGCUCCGGCGCCAUAGGAUGGACCCGCGUCCCAUUAGCUAGUUGGUGAGAUAACAGCUCACCAAGGCCACGAUGGGUAACCGGUCUGAGAGGGCGAACGGUCACACUGGAACUGAGACACGGUCCAGACUCCUACGGGAGGCAGCAGUGGGGAAUAUUGCGCAAUGGGGGCAACCCUGACGCAGCAAUACCGCGUGAGUGAAGAAGGUUUUCGGAUCGUAAAGCUCUGUUAUUGGGGAAGAAAAAAAGACGGUACCCAAGAAGAAAGUUCCGGCUAACUACGUGCCAGCAGCCGCGGUAAUACGUAGGGAACAAGCGUUGUCCGGAUUUACUGGGCGUAAAGGGCACGCAGGCGGUUUUUUAAGUCAGAUGUGAAAGGCCACAGCUCAACUGUGGACAUGCAUUUGAAACUGAAAGACUUGAGUAUUGGAGAGGCAAGUGGAAUUCCUAGUGUAGCGGUGAAAUGCGUAGAUAUUAGGAGGAACACCGGUGGCGAAGGCGGCUUGCUGGACAAAUACUGACGCUGAUGGCUCAGGACGAACGCUGGCGGUAUGCUUAACACAUGCAAGUCGAACGAGAAGGAAGAGCUUGCUCUUCCUGAAAGUGGCGAACGGGUGAGUAACGCGUGGGUAACCUACCCUUUGGAAAGGAAUAGCCUCGGGAAACUGGGAGUAAUGCCUUAUAAGAUACGUUUGUCGCAUGGCAUUUGUAUUAAACGCUCCGGCGCCAUAGGAUGGACCCGCGUCCCAUUAGCUAGUUGGUGAGAUAACAGCUCACCAAGGCCACGAUGGGUAACCGGUCUGAGAGGGCGAACGGUCACACUGGAACUGAGACACGGUCCAGACUCCUACGGGAGGCAGCAGUGGGGAAUAUUGCGCAAUGGGGGCAACCCUGACGCAGCAAUACCGCGUGAGUGAAGAAGGUUUUCGGAUCGUAAAGCUCUGUUAUUGGGGAAGAAAAAAAGACGGUACCCAAGAAGAAAGUUCCGGCUAACUACGUGCCAGCAGCCGCGGUAAUACGUAGGGAACAAGCGUUGUCCGGAUUUACUGGGCGUAAAGGGCACGCAGGCGGUUUUUUAAGUCAGAUGUGAAAGGCCACAGCUCAACUGUGGACAUGCAUUUGAAACUGAAAGACUUGAGUAUUGGAGAGGCAAGUGGAAUUCCUAGUGUAGCGGUGAAAUGCGUAGAUAUUAGGAGGAACACCGGUGGCGAAGGCGGCUUGCUGGACAAAUACUGACGCUGA
RNAcentral lists this ribosomal RNA (1430 nucleotides) under uncultured bacterium. RNAcentral describes it as "bacterial SSU rRNA". The stretch from base 700 to 1430 matches the Rfam family "Bacterial small subunit ribosomal RNA", at positions 1 to 749 of the family's 1533-position model. The record is from RNAcentral.